Molecule: long non-coding RNA, 1208 nt
Filed under: Homo sapiens (human)
Lineage: Eukaryota; Metazoa; Chordata; Mammalia; Primates; Hominidae
Description: HSALNT0160531
Source: RNAcentral
AAUGUGUGUUGUUUUAAAAUGACUCCUUAAUAUGAAGAGUACAUCUGAUACUCUCCGAAAGUUAAACAAGCCAUUCAGGAAAAUGGGAUUGAGUUAUGACAAGCUGAACAGAAGCCCUGAAAGGUCGUGGGCUCAUUUCUUCAUUUAUGAGAAUGAAGGCAGGACAUGUGGGCCUGGAUGCUGGAUGUCAACCCGAGAUUCUUCCUUGCCACUCAUAACCAGACGUGAAGCUGCAAGCGACCUGGAGCACACGGCCCAUUCCCUAGCAACUCAGGGCAGGGCUCAGGGCACCUUCCAGGCCUGGCAAGGUGAGGGGACAAAGCCACGGUUCUGUGCAGUGAAAUGCUAAUUUUAUGUCCAGAAGGAGGGCCUGGGUCUCCAGGCUUCCAGGCUCCCACCCUUUCUAGCUUGGUGUAUAGCAUCAUUGGAGCCACUGCAUUGAGGGCACAAAGUCCUCAUGGCUUCAAUUUCAUUGUCGGAAAGCUAGGAUUAACACUGAAUUGGUAAUGGGAGGAAAACUAGCGUUACAUCAGGAAAGAGGGCAAUUUUCUACUCCUUGGCACCUCGAAGAGGCCUCCAGCGAUGCGAUAGCUGGCAGCCUUUGAAAAAAAUCCUUUGCAGCUCUUGGCAUGAGAAUUUGUCUGGCCUGGAGGAAGUCAUUUGAUCCUGGGGCUGGGGGCUGUGAAGCAAUUGUGAAAGUCGCUUCUGAAGUCCUGUAGGCACCAGAUCUGUUUUCUAGCUUAUAAAUCAGAUACAAGCAAACUCUGGGACUUGUUCUCUCGUGGUGAGAGCUGCCACUGAAAUCGCAGGGGAGCUGGGGGGCUAAGGAUGCACAGGACUGCUAUUUGUUUAGGAGGGCAGUCCUCUCACAGGGCCUGUGUCUGGGGCUGCAUUGUUGCCCGUCUACACCCGGGCUCCAUGCCAGUGCCCAUGUUGAGAGGCAGCAGGCCAGGCCGGAGUCUCCAUGCUGCUCCCUGCAGCCCUUUGAGGUUUAGCUGCAGUUGUCACGGCAAUAUUUCUUCAGGCCACUCUGCUUGGGCACCCUGGCUUUCCAGAGAACAGCUACUUGAGUCCCUUUUGUUCAGUCCCUCGCAGGCAGGGCCUGCCCAACCCAACCUGGUCCAGUCCAGCUGUGUCCAGGCCAGCUCAGGAUCCAGGGGUCACCAUUUAAGGGCUCAUGAGAUUGCGAAGUGAUUCUACUCAACCUG